UUAUUGGAGAGUUUGAUCCUGGCUCAGGACGAACGCUGGCGGCGUGCCUAAUACAUGCAAGUCGAGCG
Molecule: ribosomal RNA, 68 nt
Filed under: Niallia circulans
Lineage: Bacteria; Bacillati; Bacillota; Bacilli; Caryophanales; Bacillaceae
Also listed under: 17 other names
Description: partial 16S ribosomal RNA
Rfam family: Bacterial small subunit ribosomal RNA
Source: RNAcentral